AUGCUACACUAUAAAUAUACGAAAAUGCUCCACUUACAGACCGCAGUUACGGAAACUCUCAUACGGACAGACUUGGCAGAGUCUAAUUCAUCACUCCCCCCUGAAUUUCAGCAUUGCUCCAUCAUUGGCAGUCUCCACCACCUCGUCGGCACCAAACUGCCGCCCCACCGCGCAUUCCUUCGCCUGGCACGCCGGCACGGCCCACUCAGGCUGCUGAGGCUCGGCGAAGUGCCCAGGAUCAUUGUGUCCACCCCUGAGGCAGCGAUGGAGGUGUUCAAGACGAGUGACCUCACCUUCGCGACCCGCCCGAGCGGUCCCACGCUGGACAUCGUCAGCUGCGGGGGCAAAGGCUUGGCCUUCGCGCCCUAUGGCGACCACUGGCGGCAGAUGCGCAAGCUCUGCGUCAUGGAGCUGCUCAGCACACGGCAGGUGCGCCGGAUGGACUCCAUCAAGCAAGCCGAGGUCACACACCUCAUGGAGUCGGUGGCUACCGCGUCUUCUGCCUCGGCGUCCGCCAUCAUCGACAUUGGCAAGGAGCUGGCCAGGCUGACAAACAACAUCAUCGCCAGGGCGGCGUUUGGCGGCAAGUGUCGGCAGCAGGAGGCGUACCUCCGAGAGCUCGCCGUGUUGGCUUCGCUCGUGGGAGGGAUCAGCCUGGUGGAACUCUACCCGUCGUCGCGGCUGGUGCGGUGGCUGACGGGUGAUUCCCGCGACCUGAGGAGGAGCCACGCCCGGAUACAACGAAUCCUGGCAGAUAUCAUCCAAGAGCGCAAGGAGAAGAAACAAAAUAAUGCCUCGGCUACUGCUACCGCUACUGGUACUCCUACUCCUACACCUAAAGAGGACGAAGACCUGCUGGACGUGCCUGCACGACGAAGACACUCUCAGUUUCCCUUUGACGUCGGAGAUCAUCGGGGCCGUCAUCUUUGA
RNAcentral lists this ribosomal RNA (930 nucleotides) under Triticum aestivum (bread wheat). Its description in RNAcentral is "partial small subunit ribosomal RNA". The record is from RNAcentral. Lineage: Eukaryota; Viridiplantae; Streptophyta; Magnoliopsida; Poales; Poaceae.